CAAUAGCGUAUAUUAAAGUUGUUGCAGUUAAAAAGCUCGUAGUUGGAUUUCUGAUCGAGACAUCAGGUCGGGUCCGAGAGGAUCAUGUACUUUGAUUUUGUUUUGAUCAUCCUUGGGGAGAGCAUUUCUGGCAUUCAGUUGUCGGGAUUGGGAUCCUCAUCGUUUACUGUGAAAAAAUUAGAGUGUUCAAAGCAGGCCUCGGCCUCUGAAUACAUUAGCAUGGAAUAAUAAGAUAGGACUUUGGUGGUCUAUUUUGUUGGUUUGCACACCAAAGUAAUGAUUAAUAGGGAUAGUUGGGGGUAUUCGUAUUCAAUUGUCAGAGGUGAAAUUCUUGGAUUUAUGGAAGACGAACUACUGCGAAAGCAUUUACCAAGGAUGUUUUCAUUAA
This 388-nucleotide ribosomal RNA is filed under the name uncultured eukaryote. RNAcentral describes it as "partial 18S ribosomal RNA". It matches the Rfam family "Eukaryotic small subunit ribosomal RNA", at positions 592 to 976 of the family's 1831-position model. The record is from RNAcentral.